CUUAUUUCUAAACAUAGUAUUCUGUAAAAGGACUACAGGAAUGAGCCAGGAGAGGCAGCUCGUGCAGAUCUCACCAGAAGGGAGAUUCCAGCUGCACUGCACGGAGACCCCUGAGCAGAGGGUAACCGAGGGUGGGGAGAGCAUGCCUUCACUUUGUUGUGGGGAUAGCAGUGACCAGCAUUCUCGGUUAAGACUGAUGCCGCGGGAUGAGGAUGCAUGCAUACUGGACCAAAAGCAAAACACAGGGACUGAUUUCUAAACAACAAAGCAGCUGGAACAGAAGCUAAGAGCAGAAAUCGUAACUUUGCAGGGCUUCUAUUUGGCCGCUGUGGUUCUCACGGAGAGCUUUCUUAUCUGUGGAGACAGCUUUCUGGCUUCUGAAAUCUUGGCGAUGACUAGAGAAGGAAGGAGUGAGAUUGAUGAUGGUAAAAGCUUGUAUCAGAAAGAGCUAAGGGGUUGAGCACUAAACAUUGUCUUGGAAGCCUGCACGGAUGUUGAAAGGUGAAUGCAGAGUCAGAAGGCAGAGUGUGGAACUUCUAUUUUUCAGAAUGCGGAACUUUUAAGCGAUCCGUUUCUUUACUGACAGCGUGAUGAGACCAGGACACGUUAUAGAACUUGUGGGAAAAGAAUCAACCGUAAGUCCCUAUGAACAUUAAGCUGAAGGAGGAAUAAGAAUGUCAUAAUGACCCCAUGAUUACACGUAGAGGUCAUUUUUACUUAUGUUUGGCACCUUCACUCCAGGCUGGCUUUAGAGGACCAAGUAUUAUCCCCAUUGCGGAAGUGAAGGAAAUGGGCCCCAAUUUCCAAGGUUCUGAAGCUGAUGAGUGGAAGAGUCUGGAUCAGUGCUGAAGGUUAAUGAGUUCAUCUCUGAGAAGUGUUGCUGUUCCAAGGCCUUUAGCAUUCUAAGUGCUGUCUCAUUUGCAAGAAGGCAGGGACCUCUCACGAGCCAAGUACUUCAUAGUUAGGGAUGAGUUUUAAAAACUGCAAAGGGAAAGGAAUAAUUACAAAGGCAAAUUCUGGAUGCAUGAUGUUGGCUGGAUAUUCUUUGGCAAGAAGAACCAGAAGCAGUUUGCAACAGAACUGAUAAGGAAAUGAAGUACCUUGGACUGGGAACUGAGACCACUUCCUUAUAAUGGUACAGCUACAAAACAGAAAGUGUUCAGGCCUGUGAAGAUUUGGAAGUGCAGAACCACCAUACAGGUUGGGCUACUAGUGGACAAGGAGUUCUUGGGCCUGUAGAAGUGUAUGGAGAAAGGAAAGUGCCAACUGUGGGAGGACCAGGAAAUAUAGUUUAAGUAAAUUGGCCAGAAACUCAGCUGAAGCUUGCUCUUUCAAGUAAGUAAAUGUAUUAACUUCAGUCUCUCUCUAACUUUGCAGCUGUUUAUUAUUCUUAUAUCAAACAUACUGGUCAAAUUUGAAGUAGGAAAUUUGCAAUAAAUACCUUCAACUUUUUUUAACUCCUAAAUUUUGUGAUCACACAAAAAAAGAGUGUGUUUGCAUCUAAUCCAUUGUGUCUGUGCCCCUGAACACAUCUCUCCUUUGGGUAGGAGAAUGGAGGGCUGUCAUUGGAUUGGCCAAAGUCGUGUUCCUGUAACCUGUGCAGUUGGGUAGAAUGGAGGUUAGAGUAAAAUUUCAGUCAAGAAAGGGAAUGACAGCAGACUGGAGAAUGAAAGGAAGAUAUGCUGUGCAGAAAAAAAUAAUUUUCCUCUUAUGUUAAGUCACUUAAAGCUUAUCUACAUGUAAACAAGUCAUUUCUCUCUAAACUCUUUUCAUCCAUAAGGAGAGUAAUAAUUUUCCUUGUAAGGUGAUUGUUGAGGGACAAAUGAAAUGCUAUAUUAGAAAGAAAAACCUUUGUAAACUUUACAGUCCUGCAGAAACAUUAAUUCUUACUAGGGUCUUUGAAAACCUGUUGUUUCUCUACUAGUCUUGCUCUACAUUGACAUAUUUUAGCUUCAUUCUUGGCAUCCAAUGCUUGCAAGUCAUGCUUUAUACUAAACUAAUUGAAAUGUAUGUAUUACCCUAGACUAUGCAUGCUUUAUAUUCUUCAGCCUGAAGAGAAGCAAACAUGAGAGUUAAAAAAAAAAAGAAAUCCAAGAUAUGGUUAUUUAUAUCUCAUGUCUGCCAAAUUCUCCACCAAUGUACAGCUUAAUUUCAGGUUUACCUUAAAAUGUCUCUGCUACAAGGUAAAAGCUGGGUGACAGCCUGUGGAUAAAAAUAAAUACAUGGUUUAUACAAAGGCAAAUAUAAUAAAGGAAACCAAAGCUCAGGAAGAUGCGGGUGAAAACUGAGUUGUGAUCAGUUUGUACAUUUUAAGGUAAGUGAGAACUUUGCUGAAGGUUAUGAAUCAAGGGGAGAAAGCAGUGCUUCUCUAAAUAAUUAAAGCUUCACAUUGUAUCUUCUUGUAAUGCUCUAGCUAAUCAAAGUGGAGUUUGCGUGCUUGACCUUAAAGUCAAGAAGGAAAUCUUGAAUUUCUUCAGCUUCCUGCUUCGGCUGAGGAAUUCUAAAACAUAGCUAUGAGAAUGCCAUUUUUAGAGAACGUCGCUAGUGAUGAAUUAUGUUCUCUGGUUUGGUAACCUUGACAAACUGGUACCCUCUCUUAGGAAGUUGUGUAUGUCAUCACUGCUUUCUAGACACCUUAGUGUCAUUAAUAGUAGUUAGUGGAAAGACUAAAGAACUGGAGGCAGAAAAAUGAGCUAAUACUGUGGCUUAGGAUAAGGAGCACUACAUUCCCAAUCUCGAGUUAAUACAAUUUUUUCAGGAAUGUAUUUUUGCAGUUGGGGGUCAUCAAAUUAGGAUCCAGGGAAAAUCUACCCAUUGUAUUUGAUUAACAUAUCUCACAAAUCUCUUUAAUCUACAACUACACACCACCUCCUAUCCUUUUCUUUUUCUCUGCUAUAUAUUUGUCAAGGAUGCUGGGUCAUUUGGUCUGCAGAAUUUCCUGUGUACCAGAUUUGACUAAUUACACUGUGUAGCAUUUUAAAAACAUGUCUCUUUACCCUUCCAAUUUACUGGAAAACUGUUAGAUGAAUGUAGAGGCUUGAUUAUUUUCUUUUGGCAUAUAUGAUGCAAGUUUAAUUUGGAGAUGGAAGCAGGCACUAACUAUAUCAUUGCCUUAGGGGACAUGUGAUGGCCAGUUAUCAAUCACAUUGGUAGGACAAACAAUGACCCCACUUUCCAAAUAAGUUCAAGCUGUUUGGAUAUCCAGGAUCUAUGAAUAUGUUAUGCAACAUGGCAAAAUAGACUCUGUAGAUGUAAUUCAGGCUACGGAUCUGAAAACAGGGAGAAAGCCAAUAUUACCCAGGAGGAUCCAAUAUAAUUCCAUGAACCUUUAAAGACAGAGAAACUUUUCGGCUGCAUUCAGAAGCAUAAGAACAAUAUGGUGGGGAGGAUGGGGUAAGUCAGAGAGAGGGCAAGUUUGAGGAAGCUUUGCUAUGCCAUAACUGGCCUGAGAUGGAUGGGCACAUGUGUGAGCACCCAAAGAGGCCUCCAGAGGUCUAGGGCACCACUCCGCUGACAGCCAGCAAAGAAACGGGAUCUCAAUGCAAGCACUGUAAGAAACUCCAUUUGGCUAACAACCUGAAUGAGUUGGAAGCGGAUUUUCCCCAGAGCGUAACAGUGAGAGCCCAGGUCAGCUGACAUCUUCUUUCCAAAACCAGGAGCUGAGAAACCAGUCAACCUAAAACUGACUUUCCACCUACAGAACUGUGAGUAAUGAAUUUAUGUUGUUUUAGGCUGCUAGAUUUGUAAUACUUGUCAGAGAAGCAAUAGAAAGGUAAUACAAGAAGAUGUUGGUAUUGUCAGCCUGAUUCAUUUAUUAAGAAGUUCCCCAUCCACCUUCCACCUGAAGGGUUCAGGAGCUGUUGAUCCUUGUGGCUUACAUUUGCUGUUGUGUUUAGAGAGUCACCAAAUGGGGCUUUUUGCAGUUCUAUCAUUCCUUCUGUGUUUAUUAUUUGAUAUUCUUCUGUAAAGAAGAACUUUUUCUUUUCAAUCAAAGUAAGCUUUGUACAUAAAAAGGUGGAUAAAUGUGUUUUUUUCUCUUUAUUUAUUAGUCUUAGAAUACUGAGAAGGUUGUUUUGAUGCUAUUCCAGGUGGCCAAUUUUUGAUAUAUUAAGAUUUCAUGGAUUGUUGUAUAUUUAUGUGUUUCAACUAUAGUAUUGCCAUUCAUUUAUAUUGGGUGCUUAACUGGUCUACAUUGGUGGCCUUGGAAAGUGCCUCAAGUUGUUCCCUUGAAUUUUGUCAAGACCUCACUUUCUUAUGGUAAUGUUUUAAUUCAAAUGUUCCAGUAGAUAGUUAACGUUUUAUUUUUGUGCUUGAAUUGUUUUGUUAAAAAAUUUUGGUUUUAUCAUUAAUUCUCAUAGUACAACUCAUUAAGGACAGAUGUCCAACAUGGGGAAUAAGUGACAGUGACUGCUGCUGUUGAUUUAACAAGUAACACUCUUAUUUUUGACGUCAGUGACUACCUGAGGCUAUUGUUAUGGGCUUCCAAGGCUAUGGAAGCCUCUUGAGUCCACAAACUCUGUCAAUAUUUAGAAAGGGCCAUAAAGUGGAGCAGCCGGGACUCGAACUGGUGCCCACAUGGGAUCCCAGCACUACAGGUGGUGGCUUUGCUGGCUACGCCACAGCACUGGCCCCUCUUCCAAUUUUCUGUCUCUGGAUCAAACAAACCCAGGUCCCUUUUUGGUUGGGCCUAUUUUCUUUUCUUUUCUUUUUUUUUUUUUUAAGAUUUAUUUAUUUGAAAGAGUUACACAGAGAGAGGAGAAGCAGAGAGAGAGAGAGAGAGAGAGAGAGAGGUCUUCCAUCUGAUGGUUCACUCCCCAAAUGCCGGAGCUGUGCCGAUCUGAUGCCAGGAUCCAGGAGCUUCUUCCGGGUCUCCCACGUGGGUGCAGGGGCCCAAGGACUUGGGCCAUCUUCUACUGCCUUCCUGGGCCAUAGCAGAAAGCUGGACAGGAAGUGGAGCAGCCGGGUCUUGAACUGGUGCCCAUAUGGGAUGCUGGCACUUCAGGCCAGGGCGUUAACCCACUGUGGCACAGCGCUGAGGUUGGGCCUAUUUUCAACACUAAACAUCAACACUUAUGAGAUUUUUCUAAGUUCUGUAGCAAAGCCCCUCGUGGAGGCUCGUCAGCUCCUCGGGUCUGCUAGUGUUUAGCUGAGUGAUGGUCCUACCUCUUGGCAUUUCCUUUUUUUUAAUUCUUCUCUCACUCGUGAAAAGUAUCCAUUUGCCCGUGGGCAGGGCACUCCUGCUCCUCAUGUGGGUCCCGAGAGAGCAGACUAUGUUUGCUUCUCCUGGAGAUACCCCAACUACGAGCUCCAUUCACAAGUUCAGUCGGUGCCUCCAGUGCUUUAUCCUUCCCCAUGGCCUCUGGGGUCCCUGACACGGCUUUGCUGUGCAAUUUUCAGUUCAGUCCAGUCCUCUGUGCUGUGCCCAGGGUUAGAUGCAGUCAGUGUGGUCCUCCCUGCCUGCAGGGGUGUUUGGAAUGAUCAUGUUUCCGAGUGCCUGUGCAUGUACUUGGGGGUGCACUGAAGCGCCUUGACGGGACGAGCACCGUUAGGUGGUACAAGGCACUGUGACCUGGGGCGGCACUGACAGCUGUCAGGAGGGCUCGAGAGGAAGCAGAGCAGCUUUCGUCCAGGUCUUUAGACACGAGGGUUUUAUGUGUUAUUAGGUGUUUCGUGUUCCUAAAAACACCUUCUACUUUUUAAAAAAUGAUGUAUAUUUUAUUCUGGUAAUUAUAUGAAGUGUCUGAGCAGCAUACUGUAAACCAUAUAAUUUUGUAUUGGAUCAGAAUGGAAACUCAUGGGAUAUGGUAUAUCUGAUCAUUUCCACGAAAAAUCUCUGGGAUAAUAAAAAAAUUCUUUCCAAAAAAAAAAAAAGGGCCAUAGUCAAAGUGGAAGUUCUCUCCUACCUUCAGAGAAAAGUACAUCCUUCUUUGAUAGCCCCUUCUUUCCACUGGGGUCUCACUCACAGAGAUCCUUCAUGUAGGUCUCGGCUUUUUAUGCCUGGAAUGCUUUCCUGGACUUUUCAGCCAGAUCCAAAUGCCUUAAGGGCUGAUUCUGAGGUCAGAGUGUUAUUUAGGGCAUUUGUCAUUCUAUGAGUCUGCUGUGUGGCCUGCUUCAAGGGGUUAGUUUUUGUUUUACUUUUGUUUUCAAAUAUGUGAAU
Long non-coding RNA from Oryctolagus cuniculus (rabbit), 6157 nucleotides. RefSeq lists it as uncharacterized. NCBI's taxonomy places the organism in Eukaryota, Metazoa, Chordata, Mammalia, Lagomorpha, Leporidae. The record is from RefSeq and is a predicted model, not a curated record.